Molecule: long non-coding RNA, 1475 nt
Filed under: Canis lupus familiaris (dog)
Lineage: Eukaryota; Metazoa; Chordata; Mammalia; Carnivora; Canidae
Description: lncRNA (ENSCAFG00845006121.1)
Source: RNAcentral
CACUCCCUAGGUCCCUCUAAGAAACUGCAAGAAAAAAUGCCUCUCCGCACAGGACUUUGCGGGUUAAGAAUGUCACUGCUGUCCCAGUAGAUGCAAAACUAUGCGCAAAUGAACACCCGUUAUUUUGGAGACUGGAUCGUUGAGGUGAAUCAUGUCAGGGCUUUGCACUGGACCUGGAAGCCUGGGACAAGCACACAAAACAUCCUGUGGCCGGGAGGUGCCCCCCUGAAAGAGGCAAAAGAUAGCACAGUGAACGCUAUGCCAAUUUCCCAGUUUCUGCUAGCAGAAGCCCUUGUGCUCUGCGUGACGGUCAGAAGUUAUCUGGUAAACUUUCCAUGGAAAGCCAUCUCCGGACUCCCUCCCCAUCGGUGGCCUCAGAGCUUUCACCGUGACACUCGAGAGAUUCAGGGAAAGCUCUAGAAACGGGCUCCGUUCUCAAUAACAACCCUCUUCCCCAGGGCUCUUGGAAAGGCUGGAUCUGAACAACGCUGCCUGCAUGACCUCCAUUUUCCAGCCUCAAUGAAGCUCCAAACCAGCCAACCGAAGCCCACCCUCCGCACCCCCACCCCCGUGCUCAGGGUGUCUACCCCUUCUGAAGCUGCUCUUAUUUUUUAUUUUCAUUAAUGCAUUUUUAAGAGUGAAAGGCGCGCGCACAUGCACACGCGCGCACAUGCACACGCGCGCACAUGCACACGCGCGCACAUGCACACACGCACGCGCGGGCUCGCACCCAGCGGCGGCGGCAGGUACGGCGGGGACAGGGUGCCCCGACUGUCAGUGCCUCUGAUCCCGGCCCGCCUCGUCCCCCGCACCCCCCCACCCGCCCCUUAUUAAUAGGAGCCCGGUCGCAGGCAGCCUGCGUUCUGGUUUUCAUUGUACAGCCUGCACUGGUGACACAGGACAUGUGGAAAAUUUUGAGAGCACUGCGGUGAAUGGCGUGGAGGGGGAGUGCGAGCAGGGGGAGGGGAGGAGGGCGCAGGGGAGGGGCGGGGAGGGAGGGGAGCGAGUUACUUUUUAGCUUCCGCUAAGUACUUGGCAGCGCGCCAGGCCCGGAGGAUUGUGGGAAGCGAAAGCCUCCCCAGUAUAAACUGCCAGCUUUAAGCAGCCCUGACAGUUCUGCUCCUUCCAAACUUGGCAGCCGUUCAAAGUGCUCUUUCAUUUGAAAUGCUGGAAGCCUGCCAUGUGCAAUGCAGAUUUGCUGUGCCUGUGCGCAGAAGGAACUGAUAAAUGCCGUUGCAGUUGCCAUGGGGACAGGAGGCUAUCAGAAUGGCCUUGUGAUCCGCAGCCUCUCAGCGCGGCAGGCUCUCGCUCUGCCUCCUGCCCCUCCUCCCUCUAGUCAGUGAGAUGGUGAAAUAAAUGUUCUGGAAAAAGGUUAACCCUGCCUGCUCUGGUUCCAAAGCCGAGAGAAGGUUAACCUCCAAGCUCUUCCCGCGGGGGGUGGGGGCUUAAGUGGCAGCCCGGGGCCUGGGGCCCUC